Ictalurus punctatus (channel catfish) is the source of this 1273-nucleotide long non-coding RNA. NCBI's taxonomy places the organism in Eukaryota, Metazoa, Chordata, Actinopteri, Siluriformes, Ictaluridae. The record is from Ensembl.
GACAUGGCGGAAGAGGACUACACUUCCCAGCCACACCCGCACUCGAGUUCGCUGGAGUUCUGAUUACGAACACCUGCAGACAUCUAAAGUUAUAUAAGGGCCUCGUUAGCAUCAGCCGCUUGCGAAGUAACCGCUCAGCAGCCUCGUCUCUGUUGGUUAACCAAGCCUGAUUAUUAUUGGAAGUGUCUUCCCGGUUCUCGAUUUCCACUUGUCUUUUGACUACACUUUUGCCUACGCCCCUGUCAACCUGUUUUACCUGCAUAAUCCCGACUCUCAUCUCGUUCCGUGUUCCACCUGGUGUCCGUCACACGUCAUCUCCUCGCCUGCCCACGUUUGUCUCCGUCAGCGUCACGUAACAAUGCUUGCUUAUGGACACAUUGUAUUAAUUGACCCUCCUGCAACAGCAGAUCCUACCACAGAUGAAAAUGAUUAUUGUCUUCAGGUAUUGUUUCUGUUUGCUAGACCAAACAGCAUUAGUCAUUUGCACUGUAGGAUGAAGAUGAAGAGACCAGCUCUGCUGUAACAGAGAUACAAAAAAAAGAUUCUGGGAGGCCCACAGAGGUAUAACAUAUAAUGUAUUCCCUUUCUGCAAUGUGAUCCCUUUCUCAUUGUUUAUUAUGGCUGGGGAUUCCUGUACAGAGGAGGGUCCAUCUACCUCCACACAGAAUCUUGGAAGUAAAAAAAAAUUGUUUGCAGUUGUCCUGAUUAAAAAUAUUUGGUCUGUGUAUUUAUUACAGACAUUUAUGAUAUCAAUCAUAUUGGAUUAUCAUUCUGUCUUCCUAGCUGCCUGCAAAGAAGCUGUACAAGGUACAUCUUCAAAUGCAAAUGAUAAAAAUUGGCAUGGAGAUGGAACUUCUGCAACUUUAAAUGGAGGGAAAAAGGCUAACAUAAAAAGGACACUAUUCAAAAGUGCACUCCAUGCUCCGUCAGCUCUCUGAAACAAACUAACCUGGAACAUAACCUGCUUCAGAUACCCCACACAAAUUUAUGGAGAUACUAGAGAUCCAGAUCCUUUCUGCCUCUGGAUGGAGCUCAAAUCUUCUCUAAUUCCAGACUGCUGGAACUACGGCUGGCCAUACAGACUUCAUAUAAAUCCAUAAUGAACUUUUUCACACUAACUGUUGUUACCCAGAUGAGGAUGGGUUCCCUUCUGAGUCGGGUUCCUCUCAAGGUUUCUUCCUCUUAAAACACCUUAGGGAGUUUUUCCUUGCCACCGUCGCCACUCAGUGGCUUGCUCAGUUGGGAUAAAUUCACACCUUUAAUAUCUGUAUAC